CCUACGGGAGGCAGCAGUAGGGAAUAUUGGACAAUGGGCGAGAGCCUGACCCAGCCAUGCCGCGUGCCGGAUGAAGGCCUUCUGGGUUGUAAACGGCUUUUCUCAGGGAAGAAAAAGGUGAUGCGUCACAAACUGACGGUACCUGAGGAAUAAGCACCGGCUAACUCCGUGCCAGCAGCCGCGGGUAAU
RNAcentral lists this ribosomal RNA (189 nucleotides) under uncultured bacterium. RNAcentral describes it as "partial 16S ribosomal RNA". It matches the Rfam family "Bacterial small subunit ribosomal RNA", at positions 338 to 524 of the family's 1533-position model. The record is from RNAcentral.